This 327-nucleotide long non-coding RNA is filed under the name Rosa chinensis. RNAcentral's name for it is "sRNA RchiOBHm_Chr3g0458731". It matches the Rfam family "Eukaryotic large subunit ribosomal RNA", at positions 1516 to 1884 of the family's 3401-position model. The record is from Rfam by way of RNAcentral. Lineage: Eukaryota; Viridiplantae; Streptophyta; Magnoliopsida; Rosales; Rosaceae.
AGCGGUGAAAAAGCACAUGAAUUAGUUGAUCCUAAGAGACUGGUUAACUUCAUCUGAUAGUAUGUCUCGUGCAAACUUUAAAAGAAAAUCGGGUUAAAAUUUCUUAACCAGAACGCGGUAGUUGAUGAUAAGUUGGAGAGUCUAGAGACAUCGGCGGGAGCCUCAAGAAGAGCUCUACAAGAGGUAGGGUUUAGCAACUGGAAAAGAACCACAUGUCAUGUGGUAUUUAAUGCGACCCCGUCAAUCCUUGAAAAUUCAGAGGACCAGAUGCCAUUCCUACCUGGUCGUAUUCAUAGCCACAUCAGGUCUCCAUAGUGAGCAUCCUCU